GAUGAAGAACGCAGCGAAAUGCGAUAAGUAAUGUGAAUUGCAGAAUUCAGUGAAUCAUCGAAUCUUUGAACGCACAUUGCGCCCGCCAGUAUUCUGGUGGGCAUGCCUGUUCGAGCGUCAUUUCAACCCUCAGGCCCCCAGUGCCUGGCGUUGGGGAUCGGCGCGGCGCCCUCCGGGGCGCUGCCGGCCCCGAAAUUCAGUGGCGGUCUCGCUGUAGCCCUCCUCCGCGUAGUAGCACAACCUCGCGGCCUGGAGCUCGGCGGUGGCCAUGCCGUAAAACACCCCACUUCUGAAAGUUGACCUCGGAUCAGGUAGGAAUACCCGCUGAACUUAAGCAUAUCAAUAAGCGGAGGA
Molecule: unclassified non-coding RNA, 354 nt
Filed under: soil metagenome
Description: partial contains 5.8S ribosomal RNA, internal transcribed spacer 2, and large subunit ribosomal RNA
Rfam family: 5.8S ribosomal RNA (bases 1-120)
Source: RNAcentral